This 110-nucleotide ribosomal RNA is filed under the name Rhodopseudomonas palustris. Lineage: Bacteria; Pseudomonadati; Pseudomonadota; Alphaproteobacteria; Hyphomicrobiales; Nitrobacteraceae. The record is from RNAcentral.
UGGUGGUUCUAGCGAGGAGCCUGAACCCGUUCCCAUCCCGAACACGGCCGUUAAACUCCUCAGCGCCAAUGGUACUCCGUCUCAAGACGCGGGAGAGUAGGUCGCCGCCA